This 474-nucleotide ribosomal RNA is filed under the name uncultured bacterium. RNAcentral describes it as "bacterial SSU rRNA". It matches the Rfam family "Bacterial small subunit ribosomal RNA", at positions 28 to 511 of the family's 1533-position model. The record is from RNAcentral.
GAUGAACGCUAGCUACAGGCUUAACACAUGCAAGUUGCGGGGCAGCAUGUCGGUUGCUUGCAACCGAUGAUGGCGACCGGCGCACGGGUGAGUAACGCGUAUCCAACCUACCCUUCACCACGGAAUAAUCCAGUGAAAAUUGGUCUAAUACCGUAUGAGGUCAUACGAUGGCAUCAGAAUAUGACGAAAGGUUUAGCGGUGAAGGAUGGGGAUGCGUCUGAUUAGCUUGUUGGUGGGGUAACGGCCUACCAAGGCGACGAUCAGUAGCCGACCUGAGAGGGUGACCGGCCACAUUGGGACUGAGACACGGCCCAAACUCCUACGGGAGGCAGCAGUGGGGAAUAUUGCACAAUGGGGGAAACCCUGAUGCAGCAACGCCGCGUGAUUGAAGAAGUAUUUCGGUAUGUAAAGAUCUAUCAGCAAGGAAGAAAAUGACGGUACUUGACUAAGAAGCCCCGGCUAACUACGUGCCAG